GUCUGUGAUGCACAAAAGGGUCAUCAAACAGUCGCUAGCAAAAAUUUGAUUGGCUUCUGUGUUUUGCUUAAUAAAAAAUUCUGAAAUGCUUGGAGUUGCAUACUUACUUCUUUUGGCUUCUUUCGUGUUUUUUGUCCGAAGGUGCUGAGUGAUGUCACAGCGGCCACCACGAGCCAUUGAAGAAUGUGCUCCCCAAGUGUGGCAAUAAUGUGGCUUAUCAGGAGUUUCUUAACGACUUAGCUUCUCCUUGCGCUGCAACUCCCUGACGACUGCAAGGAUGACGCAGCAGCGACUCAUGGCUGAAUCAUAUUGUCAACGUCUGGGUGAUGAGCCACGCAGAGCAGCGACGGAAGAGCGAGAGCUGUGCUUCCUUCAUUUAAAUUCCAGCUUCUCUCUGAAGCUGGAAAAACACUUCUAACAUUGCCCGACCGUCGUGUUCAGCCGAACCUAUGGGCCCCGUCACUCCGGAUAGCUGUCUGUGACAGUGGGCCUGCCCUCUGAUUCAGAGCAGCCUGCUUUUUAAAAAAUCAGACUUAUAUAAAUGCAAUACAAAAAGGGAAAUAAAAAUAUGUUCGCAGGCUGGUUGCUGGCACUGAGGUUAAUGCAGCAGCCCUUCACCCAGAACAAGUCAGGAAAAAGGAUUUUUAGGAUCUAAAUGAGAAGCAUACAAAGACAGAUGAUCUCAUUGGAGCCAAAGCAAUGGGAACAGUUGAAUGUUGCACAGGCAUCCCUGGCACCCUGUGUCUGCUAAUUUUUCCUAGUUUUAGCCUGACAAUAAACCUCUGCUUCGCCACACUGUGCGGCUGCUCUCACUGUUUCUUCAAGGCAGGCUUCCAGUAACCGGGCUGCUCCUCACAGGUACCGCAGACUGGAUUCCCCCUAACUCUUUAUCUCACCGUCUAACAAAGUUGUACCCUGAGCAUCACCUGCUUUUGCAAAUUUUAAUCCAGUUUGAAAAUGACACGCAGCCACAGCAGUUUAAAUGCCCUACAGUUUAUAAUCCCCACUUCAAUAAAAAGUCGAGGCAUCAGACACAAAAUCUCUCUCCAUGCAGAAUUUAAUGUUAUAAUCUGAGGGGCUCUCAUUUAGGAAGAAGGAUAACAUGUCUACUGCAGGUGUCAUUACCACUCAAACGAUCCCCCAGAUGUUGAGUCAUUAUACCACUGGCGGCUCUGUUUCCCAAGCUGCUUCUACUGCUUAAGUCUCUGGGGAUCCUAUAUGUUACCACAAUGCAAAUAAUUAUUAACAGUCAUUGCACUGGGUAGCACCAGGUAUAGCACAUGCAAGCAAUGUCUAAGACGCCUUAUCCAGCUCUCCCACGGCUUUCUUUCCAGAUGUGUAAUACCAGAUGUUAUAGCUCUCUCUCUAGUCCCAAGCAGUGAUGUGAAAAUGCCUUUUUUGUCCCAAGCAGAGCCUCAAAGCUAAAGAAUCUGCUCAGACUUUGGAAGACUGAAUAUGAGAGCAGCAGCAUCAACCACCUCUUCAUCCAGGCAGGCCCUCCAGAGUAAAUGGUACCACUUAUGGAUGGUAGGUAUGGGAGAACAAGUUCCCCUCCAUCAGCACUGCUGCGGGGGGCUGGGAUGGUAUGAGAGCUAAGGCACACGGCUGAUAGCCCAGACGAUGUGAGGUGGAGGUCACAGCAGACGCACUCGCAGCACGGCUAUGUCAGGUUCCAGUGAAUUUGCAGAUUCUGCUAAAUACCUUGUUACAAGGACA
Gavialis gangeticus (Gharial) is the source of this 1716-nucleotide long non-coding RNA. RefSeq lists it as uncharacterized. The record is from RefSeq and is a predicted model, not a curated record. Lineage: Eukaryota; Metazoa; Chordata; Crocodylia; Gavialidae. The transcript has 2 exons.